UCCCGGUUGAUCCUGCCGGAGGUCACUGCUAUCGGGGUUCGACUAAGCCAUGCGAGUCGAGAGGUGCAAGACCUCGGCGUACUGCUCAGUAACACGUGGAUAAUCUACCCUGAGGAGAGGGAUAACCCCGGGAAACUGGGGAUAAUACCUCAUAGGUUACGGAGGCUGGAAUGCCCUGUAACCCAAAGCUCCGGCGCCUCAGGAUGAGUCUGCGGCCGAUUAGGUUGUUGUUGGGGUAACGGCCCAACAAGCCGAUAAUCGGUACGGGUUGUGGGAGCAAAAGCCCGGAGAUGGAUUCUGAGACAUGAAUCCAGGCCCUACGGGGCGCAGCAGGCGCGAAAACUUUACAAUGCGAGCAAUCGGGAUAAGGGAACCCCGAGUGCCUGUACACGCAGGCUGUUCAGAUGUCUAAAACACAUCUGGAGAAAGGGCCGGGCAAGACCGGUGCCAGCCGCCGCGGUAAUACCGGCGGCUCGAGUGGUGGCCACUAUUACUGGGCUUAAAGCGUCCGUAGCUGGGUUGUUAAGUCUCCUGAGAAAUCUGCCGGCUUAACCGUCAGGCGUUCAGGAGAUACUGGCAAUCUCGGGACUGGGGGAGGUGAGAGGUACUCCGGGGGUAGGAGUGAAAUCCUGUAAUCCUCGGGGGACCACCUGUGGCGUAGGCGUCUCACCAGAACAGCUCCGACAGUGAGGGACGAAAGCUGGGGGAGCAAACCGGAUUAGAUACCCGGGUAGUCCCAGCUGUAAACGAUGCGCGUUAGGUGUGUCGGUAACCACGAGUUACCGAGGUGCCGUAGGGAAACUGCUAAACGCGCCGCCUGGGAAGUACGGUCGCAAGGCUGAAACUUAAAGGAAUUGGCGGGGGAGCACCACAACGGGUGGAGCCUGCGGUUUAAUUGGAUUCAACGCCGGGA
RNAcentral lists this ribosomal RNA (913 nucleotides) under uncultured archaeon. Its description in RNAcentral is "bacterial SSU rRNA". It matches the Rfam family "Archaeal small subunit ribosomal RNA", at positions 1 to 923 of the family's 1478-position model. The record is from RNAcentral.